UGGUUUUGCUUACUAUUGUGACAUAGCA
RNAcentral lists this non-coding RNA (28 nucleotides) under Rattus norvegicus (Norway rat). The record is from RNAcentral. Lineage: Eukaryota; Metazoa; Chordata; Mammalia; Rodentia; Muridae.